AUUGAACGCUGGCGGCAUGCCUUACACAUGCAAGUCGAACGGUAACAGGUUAAGCUGACGAGUGGCGAACGGGUGAGUAAUGUAUCGGAACGUGCCCAGUCGUGGGGGAUAACUGCUCGAAAGAGCAGCUAAUACCGCAUACGACCUGAGGGUGAAAGCGGGGGAUCGCAAGACCUCGCGCGAUUGGAGCGGCCGAUAUCAGAUUAGGUAGUUGGUGAGGUAAAGGCUUACCAAGCCGACGAUCUGUAGCUGGUCUGAGAGGACGACCAGCCACACUGGGACUGAGACACGGCCCAGACUCCUACGGGAGGCAGCAGUGGGGAAUUUUGGACAAUGGGCGCAAGCCUGAUCCAGCCAUGCCGCGUGCGGGAAGAAGGCCUUCGGGUUGUAAACCGCUUUUGUCAGGGAAGAAAAGGUUCUGGCUAAUACCUGGGACUCAUGACGGUACCUGAAGAAUAAGCACCGGCUAACUACGUG
RNAcentral lists this ribosomal RNA (477 nucleotides) under uncultured bacterium. RNAcentral describes it as "partial 16S ribosomal RNA". It matches the Rfam family "Bacterial small subunit ribosomal RNA", at positions 30 to 507 of the family's 1533-position model. The record is from RNAcentral.